AAAGAAAAAAUAGUUUUGAAAUUCUGUUCUGUGAAGGAUUAGAUGACAGGGUGUUGAUAUUUGUGAUGCAAAACAAUGUCUUUAUGAUUGCCAGUAAUGUCCUUGGAUUGAGCUGUCUUCAAAGAAACUUGGACUAUAAUAAGAGUGCUCCACACUAAAUGUUGUGAUCAGUGUUAGCAUGCCAUCUGACAUCGAAGAAUAUAAAAAGUUUACAGACAAUGGAUUUGGUUUUCAACAACUUAACUGUCAAAUCCCAAGUGCUUUGUUCAGAAUUGAUACUCUUACUUGUUUCUUGGAAACAAUGGCCUAUCAGGAACCAUUCCUCAGCAAAAGGCUGUAUAUCUUAAAAACAUGAAUCUAGUGGCCAGCAAUUUCAUGUUUGACGGCUCAAACAUCUGGCUCAGCAAUGGGAUAUGCUGCGCUUUAACAAACAUAACUGGUAAUGUUCUCUGUGCUUGCCAGUAUUCUCCCCGGAUUGAAUUGUUUGCAGAGAAAUUUCCCCUGCAGUAAGAAUGCUCCAUGUUAUUCAAGUUUUGCAAUCUAGUGUGGUGGUGAAGAAAUGAAAGUUGAUAGCAUAGUGUAUAAGGGUGAUAACAAUGAUAUUGGUGGAGCUUCUUCUAAUCUACUUGAUGCAGAAAACGGGGCAACUAGUGAUGCUGAUUUGUUUUCUGAUCGACAAUCAACAGAUUCAACACACAUGUUCAAAAUACCAACUCACAAGUGACUGGAACUGUAGCCCCAAAGCUUUAUCAGUCUUCAAGGCAAUCCUCUGGAUCACUUAGAUAUUAUGGACUUAAGUCUGGAGAAUAGACCUUACAAUGUAAGCGUGUCCCUUGUUAAGGCAACGUUUUGGUAAUCAAGGCUCACAAACAUGGAGGAGUCUUGGAAGGCAUGUUUUUUAUAUCUAUGCUCAGGUGAACUUGCUGGAGAAUUUUGGUUCUUGUCCUUGAAUACACAGCUUCUACCAUUGCAAUUUCAUCUAUUUACUCUCAUAAUUGAUCCUGUAGGGAACUCUCCAGUUAAUAAAAAUUUGGCAUAUCAAAAAAAGCAGGCGGAAAUAGUAUCGCAAUGAUAAAGAAAUGUAAUGUUAAUGCAUCUGAGAACCAUCUUGAAAUCCACCUUUUUGGGUUGGUAAAGGGAUUUGUUGCAUCCUAGUGUCAUUACAGAUAAGAAGAAAUAAUGAUGUUGCAGAAGACAAGUGUCCAAGGGAUUUUUAAAAUAAUAAUAGUUGAAGUCUCGUAAGUCAAGCUUGCUUGAGAGAUAUGAUUUAUGGUCGUAGAUCUACUACUGCAGGAUACUCUUUCAAUGGAAGGGCGAUAUCUAUGAAGCAACUUCCACUAGGAUCCCAUCAAAGGAAAAAUCAGUUUGUUAAUGAAAUAGCUACCAUAUUUGUAGAGCAACGUUGCAAUCUUUUUAUUAUCCAGUUGUUACAUCAAGGGAACUUGACGCCUCCAUGUGAAUUAGUAUCUCGAAAAACAAAGGCCUCGAUCAAGUAUUGUUUAGUAUGAAGACACUAAUUGAUAAUCAAUCUUAGUUUACAAUUUCUAUUGUGCUUUUCUUGCAA
RNA transcript from Mangifera indica (mango), 1564 nucleotides. It is a transcript of the gene named probable LRR receptor-like serine/threonine-protein kinase At1g56130, with no coding region annotated. The record is from RefSeq and is a predicted model, not a curated record. The transcript is spliced from 8 exons. Lineage: Eukaryota; Viridiplantae; Streptophyta; Magnoliopsida; Sapindales; Anacardiaceae.